CCUACGGGAGGCAGCAGUGAGGAAUAUUGGUCAAUGGACGAGAGCCUGAACCAGCCAAGUAGCGUGAAGGAUGACUGCCCUAUGGGUUGUAAACUUCUUUUAUAAAGGAAUAAAGUGAGGCACGUGUGCCUUUUUGCAUGUACUUUAGGAAUAAGCAUCGGCUAACUACGUGCCAGCAGCCGCGGUAAUACGGAGGAGGCAAGCGUUAUCCGGAUUUACUGGGCGUAAAGGGAGCGUAGGUGGGUUGAUAAGUUAGUAGUGAAACUUCGGGGCUCAACCUCAGAACUGCUACUGAUACUGUUGGACUUGAGUACAGGAGAGGCAGGCGGAAUUCGUAGUGUAGCGGUGAAAUGCGUAGAUAUUAGGAGGAACACCAGUGGCGAAGGCAGCUUGCUGGACUGAAACUGACGCUGAGGCACGAAAGCGUGGGGAGCAAACAGGAUUAGAUACCCUUGUAGUC
This 460-nucleotide ribosomal RNA is filed under the name uncultured bacterium. Its description in RNAcentral is "partial 16S ribosomal RNA". It matches the Rfam family "Bacterial small subunit ribosomal RNA", at positions 338 to 795 of the family's 1533-position model. The record is from RNAcentral.